Molecule: transfer RNA, 77 nt
Filed under: Dendrosporobacter quercicolus
Lineage: Bacteria; Bacillati; Bacillota; Negativicutes; Selenomonadales; Sporomusaceae
Also listed under: 1 other name
Description: tRNA_Asp_GTC
Rfam family: tRNA
About the family: Transfer RNA (tRNA) molecules are approximately 80 nucleotides in length.
Source: RNAcentral
GGCCCGGUAGUUUAGUCGGUUAGAAUGCCGCCCUGUCACGGCGGAGGUCGUGGGUUCGAGUCCCAUCCGGGUCGCCA